ACCCUCUUGUGGUUUGUAAGCAUGAUGAUUGUGUUUUACACUCAUUUGUAAAAUGUGCCUUCCUCAAACCUUAUUACCAUGUUGGCACAUUACCUGUCUGAUG
Molecule: small nucleolar RNA, 103 nt
Organism: Macaca fascicularis (crab-eating macaque)
Lineage: Eukaryota; Metazoa; Chordata; Mammalia; Primates; Cercopithecidae
Source: Ensembl